UCACCAAGGCGAAGACGGGUAGGGGGUGUGAGAGCACGGCCCCCCACAAUGGGACUGAGACACGGCCCAUACUCCUACGGGAGGCAGCAGCAGGGAAUAUUGCACAAUGGACGGAAGUCUGAUGCAGCGACGCCGCGUGGACGAUGAAGGCCUUCGGGUUGUAAAAUCCUUUACGGGGUGACGAGGAAGGACGGUAGCCCCGGAACAAGCGUCGGCUAACUACGUGCCAGCAGCUGCGGUAAGACGUAGGACGCAAGCGUUAUCCGGAUUUACUGGGCGUAAAGCGUCUGUAGGCGGAUGAGUAAGUUGGGCGUGAAAGCUCCGGGCUCAACCCGGAGAGGCCGUUCAAUACUGCUGAUCUAGAGGAGGCCAGAGGGGAGUGGAAUUCCUGGAGUAGCGGUAAAAUGCGCAGAUAUCAGGAAGAACACCAGUGGCGAAGGCGGCUCCCUAGGGCCCACCUGACGCUGAGAGACGACAGCUAGGGGAGCGAACAGGAUUAGAGACCCUGGUAGUCCUAGCCGUAAACGAUGGAUGCUAGGUGUAGGGCCGUAGAGGCUCUGUGCCGGAGCGAACGCGAUAAGCAUCCCGCCUGGGGAGUACGGCCGCAAGGCUAAAACUCAAACGAAUUGACGGGGACCCGCACAAGCAUCGGAGCGUGUGGUUUAAUUCGAUGCUACACGAAGAACCUUACCUGGGUUUGACAUGGGCGUGGUAGUGAAGCGAAAGCGGAGCGACCCUUCGGGGAGCGUCCACAGGUGCUGCAUGGCUGUCGUCAGCUCGUGCCGUGAGGUGUCGGGUUAAGUCCCGUAACGAGCGCAACCCUUGCCCUUAGUUACAAGUGUCUAAGGGGACUGCCGGCGGGAAGCCGGAGCAAGGUGGGGAUGACGUCAAGUCAGCAUGGCCCUUAUAUCCAGGGCUACACACACGCUACAAUGGCCGGUACAGAGGGCAGCGAAGCCGCGAGGUGGAGCGAAUCCCAGAAAGCCGGUCGUAGUUCGGAUUGCAGGCUGCAACCCGCCUGCAUGAAGCUGGAGUUGCUAGUAACCGCGCGUCAGCCAUA
RNAcentral lists this ribosomal RNA (1060 nucleotides) under uncultured organism. RNAcentral's name for it is "bacterial SSU rRNA". It matches the Rfam family "Bacterial small subunit ribosomal RNA", at positions 265 to 1356 of the family's 1533-position model. The record is from RNAcentral.